CCCCUCUGCGCGCCCAACCGACGCGCCUCCCCGCCAACCCCCAUCCAGAUCCAAAUGGGACCUCCACUGCUGCUCCACGUGCGCUCUCCUCUGAUCCUGCCCUCUCCACCGUUCCCACCGCCGGCGUGGUCUCCUCCUUCCCCACCACCGGUUUGCCCACCAUCCCCUGCCGCCGUCCACCUGGAGUGAAGAGCCGCCUGGAGUGCAGAGCAGCCACCACCGGUUCCCCGCUGCACCUGCCGUCGCCGUUCGCAGCAAAGCCCCGCCUCACGUAGAAGAGUCCUCAAACCCUUGUAGUACUGACCAGAACAGCCUUCGUUCGACCCUCGUUCCCCCGCCCCCACCAAAUCGCCUCCUCCCUAAAAUCUCGUAUCCCUCAAAUCAUCUCCUCCAUCCCCAAAUCCGGUGGCCAGCACCUCGUUCUGCUCCGUGAAAGUGCGACUCCAAAUCCCUUCUGUGUGUUACUCCAAGCCGGUCCCCAUGGAGUGUUUAAUCGAUCUGAUUUUCAUUUUUCCUCCCUCCUCCGAAAUCUCAUUUUUCUUUGUCUCGAUUGAUUAGCAGAUCUGGUUGUGGUCGCUGCGCGCAAAAGCAGGGGAAAUCCUUGUUUCUUCUUGAGAUGGUUUUGCUUCAUAUAGUUGGGGCCGUGUGUACAUCUGGAACCAAAUGAGAACAAGAAAGGAGAAGCAGAGGAAGGCAGUUUCUAAUGAAACAUUGAGCUACUGGAAGAAUUACACAGGAUUGUAGGGUUUUCUUCUAAACAGACUUGUGGGAUUUGUUCAAGCGACUUGGGCUUCUAGAUGAGUCCCCAACAUUUUUCUUUGUUCUUGUACAGAAUAUGCAUGUAUUCAAGAAUCUCUGUGUUCGUAAUAAUAAUAUUAGCUUGUUUAUUAAUAUCUUUUCA
Molecule: long non-coding RNA, 901 nt
Organism: Phragmites australis (common reed)
Lineage: Eukaryota; Viridiplantae; Streptophyta; Magnoliopsida; Poales; Poaceae
Exons: 2
Source: RefSeq, a predicted model, not a curated record